Long non-coding RNA from Lycium ferocissimum, 732 nucleotides. RefSeq lists it as uncharacterized. The transcript is spliced from 5 exons. NCBI's taxonomy places the organism in Eukaryota, Viridiplantae, Streptophyta, Magnoliopsida, Solanales, Solanaceae. The record is from RefSeq and is a predicted model, not a curated record.
AAUACUGUUCAUCUAAAUUUGGCUUCUUGUUAUUUUCUUUUAUCUCUUUUAGAAACAAAGAACCAGUGGGCACGUGAUGAUCCUGCGUUUAUUGUUAUAUGCACUCUUCUGUUGGUGGUUGCUACUCUAGCAUACUGCACUGCGUAUGAUCAUAGUGCAGGACAUGCUGUUUUUGUAGUUAUCUCAGUAUUGCUUUUUCAUUUUAUACUCACUGGAGCUACUUAGGCAACAUGUUGCUGGUUCCUAACCAACAAUUACCUUCAACAGGAAGCUCCAAGCAGUCAUGCCGUGGAACAGCGGGUAGAAUGGCAAGUUCAGAACCUCUCCAUAACAAACUCUUCAUAUACUUAAUUCAGUCUGCUUCUUUCUCCUCAUUCAGAAUUCUGAAACUCUGCAUCUAGGGUUAAUGAAAUUUCACUUUCAUUUGUGAACUUCCUUACUUACACACUUUCUUGUCUCUCAUGAAGGUUGUAUGUGUUUGAUGUCCACUGCAAGUCUUUCUUCCCUAUGUUUGUUUUGCUUUACGUCAUACAUUAUUUUCUCUCCCCUGUUUUGGUAGCUCAUGGUUUCAUUCUUGUUUUGCUGUCAAAUUUGCUCUUCAUGGUCGGAGCUGCCUAUUAUCAUUACCUCAACUUUCUAGGUUAUGAUGUAUUGCCCUUUUUGGAGAAGACAACAUUCUUCCUGUAUCCAAUUGGCAUUGUUAUCGUCCUUUCACCCAUCUGUAAGUAUUUA